GAUGAACGCUGGCGGCGUGCCUAAUACAUGCAAGUCGAGCGAACAGACGAGGAGCUUGCUCCUCUGACGUUAGCGGCGGACGGGUGAGUCACACGUGGAUAACCUACCUAUAAGACUGGGAUAACUUCGGGAAACCUGAGCUAAUACCGGAUAAUAUAUUGAACCGCAUGGUUCAAUAGUGAAAGACGGUUUUGCUGUCACUUAUAGAUGGAUCCGCGCCGCAUUAGCUAGUUGGUAAGGUAACGGCUUACCAAGGCAACGAUGCGUAGCCGACCUGAGAGGGUGAUCGGCCACACUGGAACUGAGACACGGUCCAGACUCCUACGGGAGGCAGCAGUAGGGAAUCUUCCGCAAUGGGCGAAAGCCUGACGGAGCAACGCCGCGUGAGUGAUGAAGGUCUUCGGAUCGUAAAACUCUGUUAUUAGGGAAGAACAAAUGUGUAAGUAACUAUGCACGUCUUGACGGUACCUAAUCAGAAAGCCACGGCUAACUACGUG
RNAcentral lists this ribosomal RNA (497 nucleotides) under uncultured bacterium. Its description in RNAcentral is "partial 16S ribosomal RNA". It matches the Rfam family "Bacterial small subunit ribosomal RNA", at positions 28 to 507 of the family's 1533-position model. The record is from RNAcentral.